Molecule: long non-coding RNA, 294 nt
Filed under: Mytilus galloprovincialis (Mediterranean mussel)
Lineage: Eukaryota; Metazoa; Mollusca; Bivalvia; Mytilida; Mytilidae
Source: RNAcentral
AAAAAAGGCUUAAAGAAAGAAGAACUUUGAAUUCCAAAUUUUAUAAACAAUAUAAAGAAAAACAAAGGCAGUGGCAGAGAAACAGUAGAAAAAAAGGAAGAAAGAUAAAAAAGAAGUUGGGUUGAAUAAGGACUUAGAAUCGAACAAAAACAGCUCAAAAAUUCAAAUGAGAACAGAUCUGUGACUGUGUCAGAUUCCAGAUCUACAGUGAGAAAACCUGCACAACACACAAGAAAACAACUGCCACAAAACCCAAAUGCUUGGACGAGUACUUUGAAACACAUCAUAAAAAAU